CAAAACAGAGAACGCAGCAAGAGAGAGAUACCCCCAGCUGAUCCCCUGAAGGGUUUCUAAAAGCUGAACCUCCUAAUAACUGAGUCUCUUUCUCUCUUUCUUUCCAGUUUCUCUGCAAAGAUCCAGGGCACAAGUUUCUGAUAUUCCCUUCUCUUCUCUGUGGUAAAGAUGGCAUGAGUCACAGCAGUUCGCUGGUUUCCAGUCACCAUGAUCAAGCAUCAUCGUUGAACCUGUGAUUCCAGGCUUUAACUAGAAGUCUGGUUCUUACGCGCCUCCUCAGUCUGGUACUGCUCAGUGCCAGUAAUCCCAACUGCCAAAAGGUCAAGAGCAAGAGUCAUUUGGAUUCCUGCCACAUUUCUCAUUCAUGUCAAAAGCAAUGGAACCUGGCACUGCACAGAAACCAGGCAGGCAAUCAAGAGAGACACGGGGAGCAACUGCCAGAUGUUGAGGGUCACUGGAAGAUACAACUGCUCAGCUGUUCCAAAAUG
Long non-coding RNA from Sapajus apella (tufted capuchin), 488 nucleotides. RefSeq lists it as uncharacterized. The transcript is spliced from 2 exons. Lineage: Eukaryota; Metazoa; Chordata; Mammalia; Primates; Cebidae. The record is from RefSeq and is a predicted model, not a curated record.